This is a long non-coding RNA of Xenia sp. Carnegie-2017, 625 nucleotides long. RefSeq lists it as uncharacterized. Lineage: Eukaryota; Metazoa; Cnidaria; Anthozoa; Malacalcyonacea; Xeniidae. The transcript is spliced from 4 exons. The record is from RefSeq and is a predicted model, not a curated record.
AUUCCAAUGCACUUGGUAUUGGAUUCUUGAAUCUGAUUGUAGAAAAAAGAUUUUCUAAAGCAUCUUGUGUGAAGCGGCUGGUCAGAAGGAACUUGUAUUGUUUUUCCAAAAUGAAGCAGUUCUGAAGUUCAAGAAUGGUUUUGGUUGCUAGAAUUGUUCCUGUUUGCGCAGGCCUCCACUUGGCAUUUGAUUCUGAUCCUAUUUUCAAUUGGAGACUGAAACCCAUUUUUGGAGAACGUGAUGUCAUCAGGUCGUACCACAGACCAACUUGAUCACAAAACCAUGCUGUAGUUGUGGCAUUCUUGGGCAGGACUUUUUCCUGAAUAAGAAAGCGAAUGGCUGCCCCAGUUUUUCUAGAUAGUAGAUUCUUAGCCAUGCUCACUUUCAUUUUUUCAAAAUGCCCAGGAUCACAGCAUUUUUCAUUCAGGUAAAUUGCACUCAGCAAUGGCAUACUGUGGGAUGAAAAAUGUUUGUCCACGAGUCAGAUGAUUCCUGAUAUUCUUCAAAACAUGUGGAACAUCAGGCAUAAAUCUGAGAAUGAAUUUCCAGUGAAGAAGUACGCAACAACUUGUUUCCAUCUUGCUGUCAAACCACAUAACAUGAAAACCAUGGCAUGUGUUGCCAU